GAUAAUAAUAAGUGAUAACACUACAAGAAAAUAUGUAGAUACCGACAGUCAAUUUGAGGCACAUGUAAAGGAACCGCCGCCGCUCUUGUCAAUCCCGACGGUUAUUGCGGCGUUCAUUCAACUGCCUUUGCUGUUUGUAACUCUCGGCGGUUUUACUAGUGAAAAUCAAUUGCUCUUCAAGACUCACACGUUUCCCUCUGUAGCUCCGAUUGCUCUCUCUCAACACAGCCAAGGGGCAGUAGGAAGCAAGGGCCAGAGACAUGAUCGUGAGAGAAGAGGAUUGAGAGAAUCUUGAGUUAUUCAUGCAUCUGAUGACAAUGUUGAACUUGUCUUGUCAAUGCAGGUAAAAUCAUUGUUAACUCUGAUAGUAACCCAAUCCUCGUGAAGGAAAAAUAACUCAAGCAUCUUGGUAAUGGAGAUGUCAAUUCUCAUGUUUGUAAAGUGUGUUUGGAAUCUUCAACUGCGGCAAUUCUUCUUCCAUGUCGUCAUUUUUGUUUUUGUAAAUCUUGUUCACUUGCAUGCUCUGAAUGUCCUUAUUGAGUUGUUAUAUCCACAGUCACGGGUGCAAUUCUUUCAUUAGUUUACUUUUAUGCAACCUUUCAAAAGGUAAAUUGAUAACAUAUUCUUUCUUUUCGCUAGAUAACUGUAUAUGUAAGGGGAGACAAAAGGGUGGGAAAAAAGAAUGUAAAAAGGAAAAGGAUGUAAACCGCAUUGCAGAAGUAAAUAUGCACAAUGUGUGUUGUUUCCAAUUUAUAUAUUUUUAAAUCAGUAGAUUAAACUAAGAAAAUUGUUAUCGUCUUUUCCAAUUUUUUGCAGUUUGUUCCACAUAGUCAUAUGGGCACUCCAUUCCGUAAACUGCAGGGUGACAACAAAUGUUAUAUUUAAACAUUUUCAUACAUGGAAGCGGUUAUGUCCCUUGUUGGCUUUGACUUGUACAAUAAAGUGCUUCAUAGUCAUACAAGCCUAAUUUGGAUUUUCCAUUUCACUCAUAGGUAACAUAUCAUACUCAUUAGUUGUUGUGGACCAUUGUGAUACUACUAGGAUUAGUAUUAUCCAUAUCUUCAAUAUGAGUCAAUUAGGAUUGACGACGAGUUUGACAUAAUCAAAGUGUGCCACCUUGGUUGCUACAAUUUGUAGGUUCAACAAAAUCAGAGUGCCUUGGUGAUAUGAGACAUAGAUGCAUUGAUGAUACGAGAUAUAGAUACAUAUAUAGAUGCAUUGGUGAUAUAUGUAUAGAGUUUCUUUUUCUUGUCAUUUGUGUACUCUGCAUUUAUCUCUGAUUUUCCUUUUGAAGAGAAGAACCUUACUCUUUCUUUUUGUAUAUGUAUUGUAAUGCUUUUCUUCACUUGUUUACAGGUCAAAAAGUUCUUUGAAAUGGCCUCCAAAUCGCUUUUAGACAUUUGGUCUUGUGUAAAUGUGUUUAUUAAAAGUAUUUGAAAAAGACAUCAUUUAGGCUUCAAUUGAUGCUCAAUGGUGAAUUUGGCCUCAAAGAUGCUAUCUAAAACCAUAUUUUUAUUGGCAUUUUGGUCGGCGGAAUAGUUUGGAGCUUGGUUCUGGACUUUUAAGUCGACAAAGAACUACACUUUACAAAGAGUGCACUAGACCAAAUGGACUGGAUUGAAAAAAUCACAGUGAUGUUGGUGCUCACAACAAAUUGAAUCAAGUGAUGGGAAAUUGAAGGCACUGAGAUUGAGUUCAUUAAUUAUAACAUAGGUAUCAAUUUUUUGUACUACUUAUUUGGAUUUAUUUUUUUUAGAUUGUUCCCUUGAAGUUUUGUUUGUGUUGAUGGAUUUAUUUGGUCUCGAUUGUUGGUGAACUUUAAGCUUGGUUAUUGUAGGAAAAUGCUUAAUUAAUGAACACAUAUGUUUUGUAGCACUGGAUAGGUGUAACUAAUGCUAUAUAAGGGGUUAGCUUAUGCUAUAUCUUUUAUUCGUGUCUUGGUUCUAUUUUAAGUUGUUUCUAUUGAUUAUUAAAUAACAAUGUGUAUCAAAUGAGGCAUAUGGACUUGAAUUAGUUUGCAUAAUUUAAAGAGGCUAGUGUGUUAAAUUCUCUGGACAACUUAUGUCAUUUUGUGAACAAUUGACUUAUUCUGUUUGACACUUCCAAAGCACCUUUACUCAUGUUGCACGGGUUGAAGGGUGAGAGGCUUGGAGUUCACCAAUCUAAUGUAGAACGUAUUCUCUGUGACAUGGUUCAGGUAAAGGCACAUGGUGCUAAUGUAGUGGAAGUUGCCUAUCCUUAUUGUUUAUCAUGGCCAAAUUGUGAAGGUGGUUUAUAUGAUGAUGAUGUGCACGUACACGCGGUUACAAGCAUUAAAGCUUGCUUUGGAAUUGGGGGCUGUUUUUUUUAUGGAAUUGGAUCUCAAGGUAUACCAACAGUAAUUCAAGUGUGAAAUUAGAUGAUCUAUAUAGUUGAUUUUUGUUGUCUAAGAGCUUAUAAGCAUCUUGUUUGUUUUGCUACACUUUUUAAUGUAAUAGUUUUAUGUUUAGUGUGUUAACUCAAAGCAAUUUUGAUGUAAACUUGUAUCAUUUUCUACAUGAAUUGUGAGAAUCAAUUACUUGAUAUGUUCAGUAAAAUAAUGUGUCUGCGA
This is a long non-coding RNA of Trifolium pratense (red clover), 2590 nucleotides long. RefSeq lists it as uncharacterized. The transcript is spliced from 10 exons. The record is from RefSeq and is a predicted model, not a curated record. NCBI's taxonomy places the organism in Eukaryota, Viridiplantae, Streptophyta, Magnoliopsida, Fabales, Fabaceae.